Molecule: long non-coding RNA, 1477 nt
Organism: Astatotilapia calliptera (eastern happy)
Lineage: Eukaryota; Metazoa; Chordata; Actinopteri; Cichliformes; Cichlidae
Source: Ensembl
UUUUCAGGUCCAGAACGUGGGAAGCUGCGAGAGAAUUCAACAUUAAUGAAUCAAUGGUAUGGAAGUAGAGGAAGCAAGAAGAAUGAGUUGAGUAAAGUUUGACUUAACUGACUGUUUUGUUUUGCUUAAUGCCCCUUAUAAUCCAAAAAAUACGGUAACUUCUACAUUCCUUUAGCAUGUCCAGAAGUCCAACUUUUUGUGCAAUGGUUAGCAUCUUACUCUGCCUUCUGGGAGCCUCCGGAAGUGCAAAACAUUUCGUCAACAUUGUUGCGUUUGUUGGGGAGAAUACUUACAAGCAUACAGCACUUCAGAGUCACACUGCUAGCAAUCGAAGAUUUAUGUAAAUUUGACAAGCUGAACGAAUUCUGUACUGUAGAGGACACACGGCAGGGAGGAGAUUAAUUGACAAUGGUCUACAACCAAUCAGGACGCAGAACACCAUGCGCUGCUAAAAAAAAAAAAAGAGCAAACAUAAAAACCCAUAAUAUUUGCACAAAAAAUAUCUGCAAAACUGCGAGGCCGCAGGUGAACCGCAUUAUAGCACACAACAACACAAAAGUCAAUAUUAAACGCAGAGUACUUUAGGCCCGGAAGUAGGAUUCGUCACGUCAUCACUUAACGACCGGAUAGGCCUGCUCUAAUGUAGUAAUGUAUAAUAUAUAUAAGUAAUGUGAUGUAUACUCUACUCUGGCCUCCUUUUUGAGUCUAAGGGGGACCAACAGUUACGAAAUGAGCAUUGUGUCGUACACAGUAAGACGUGCAACUGGUCAAUGCAACAAUAAACUUGCCUUUUUAAACUCACCAUUUUCUUCUUCUUCUUUUUUUUUUUUACUGAUCUAUGGUGUGCAUUCAGCCAUCUUGUUUUGGAUUAUAUUACUAUUAUUCCAGUCAACAUAAAAAUGUUGUGACAGUUUUUGUGUCUUGCAUAAAAAAUUUUUGGAUUUCGUGCUUUAGACUUAGGUCCCUUUAAAAACCCAAAUAUAUGUUUGAAAAGAGCUCAAGUUUGCUUUUCCUCUUGUUCACCGGCUUUCUAUCAAUAAGCUCCCUGAAAAAUGAACCUGUUCUAUCUCUCACUCAUGCCUGAUAGAUAGAACAGAGAGUUGUGAGAUGUGAAGUUAUUCCCUAAAGUAGCAUUUAUACAAGCAGCUGUGUUGCAUCGCCUGUGCAAGGUCAGUUUCUGUGUGUGUUGAAGCAUAUUCUAAGAACAGACAAACUUAAUGAGACAACAUCGAAAAAUGCUUCAAGCCUGAACAAUCCUGCUGAGACUCGGAGAUGAUAAAGUUUCAGGUCUUGUGUCAUUCGCUGAGAAUCACACAGCAAGAGCCUGUUUUAUUUUUUUUAUCAUUAAGUAGAAAUCGAGACUUGACAGAGACAUUCAUGUUCCUCAUAACAGUAAUAUCCAUUUGCUUUUUCCCCCUUUUUAAUCUUGCCCCAUCAUUAGUUUAAAAAUUUAAUGUUUCAUGCUUUAGUUAAUGAC